CCCUUAGAUGUUCUGGGCUGCACGCGCGCUACACUGAUGCAUGCAACGAGUUUUCGACCUUGCCUGAAAAGGUUGGGUAAUCUGUUUAACAUGUGUCGUGAUGGGGAUAGACCAUUGCAAUUAUUGAUCUUCAACGAGGAAUUCCUAGUAAGCGCGAGUCAUCAGCUCGUGCUGAUUAUGUCCCUGCCCUUUGUACACACCGCCCGUCGCUCCUACCGAUUGGGUGUGCUGGUGAAAUGUUCGGAUCGGCCGUUUGUCGCGGUUUCCGCGGCUCGUGGCUGAGAAGUUCAUUAAACCCUCCCACCUAGAGGAAGGAGAAGUCGUAACA
This 328-nucleotide ribosomal RNA is filed under the name uncultured eukaryote. RNAcentral describes it as "partial 18S ribosomal RNA". It matches the Rfam family "Eukaryotic small subunit ribosomal RNA", at positions 1470 to 1796 of the family's 1831-position model. The record is from RNAcentral.